RNAcentral lists this transfer RNA (77 nucleotides) under Asthenognathus inaequipes. Its description in RNAcentral is "tRNA-Asp". The record is from RNAcentral. Lineage: Eukaryota; Metazoa; Arthropoda; Malacostraca; Decapoda; Varunidae.
UAAAGAAUUAGUUAAACAUUUUUAUAACAUUUGCUUGUCAAGCAAAAAUUGUCCAACCUCUAAAAGACAUUCUUUAA